Molecule: long non-coding RNA, 899 nt
Organism: Chelmon rostratus (copperband butterflyfish)
Lineage: Eukaryota; Metazoa; Chordata; Actinopteri; Chaetodontiformes; Chaetodontidae
Exons: 3
Source: RefSeq, a predicted model, not a curated record
GCUGUACUUAGAUAAGGAUACACCAGGAUAGGGUCAAUAAAGGCAUAAAGACAGUUAGCUAGCCAGCUAGCAUCCAGCCAAGACAGCGCUGUAUGCUGUUCAUCGGUGUACGUGGUGUACGCCUGCGCAAUGUGGCCUUUCGUCUUCUUCUAUGGCUGAUUCACCGGGUUUUCUGGACGCUACUGACCCCCAGAGGUGACAGAUUGAUUCUCUCAUAUGUGCACCAUAAUAUCACACAGAGGCUUGCGUUUCAAGUCAGGCACUGUGGCAUCAGAAGCAGGAUAACCUACAGGAAGUAGCAUCAGCAGCUUCUCGUUGGCUGGCCGUUUGAGGAGGAGCCUGAGCUGGGGGCCGCAGUUCAGGGGCGUUGAAGUGACGGUAACAAGGCCCACGUUCUGAUUACCAAGUGGACAGAAAGCAUAGACAUAAUGCUUUUAUGAGACAAAUGUGAAAAUCAAUUUAGUUUAUCCAUAAUAAUAUGAACUUUCAAGAGGCUGGGAAGAUCCAUAUAGCACUAUGUAGACUCCUCACCUGUAAUGCAGCCAGCAGGAUCCCACAGGAUAUGGAGACACUGAUUUCAUUGUAGUAAUGUGUCUUUUUCUUGCCAUUGGGGAGAAUCCCAUAGGUCUGUUUGAAGAUGAGGACCAGGUAUGGAGCAACAUCCAAAUACUCUUUCAUCCAGUUUGUUCUGCAAGAGUAAGGACGUAGUGAGAAAAAGGGAGAGACAAUGUAUUGAUAGAAAUGCGUGUGUGUGUGUAUGGUUGCUCACCUUAAUUUGGCCAAAUCAUUGACCCACUUGUCCCCCAUUCUCUGACGGUAGUUGACCUCCUCCUCUUCUUCCACUAUCUGUCUGAUCUGGUGCUUCGUCUCUGGGUCUGACACCACGACGAACGUCCAGG